ACAGACACACAGGGCUCAUGUGGCAGUGCCCAGCAGUACAAGGAAUAGUGGUCUGGAGGGUAUACUCUGCAGAUCUGAGCUGCUAAAGAAGUGCGAUUCAUCAUACUGAGACCAUCGUGAUUGAAGAAAGUGCACAGAUAGGGGAGAUUCUUUGCUCAAGAUGAACUUUGCCAACAUGACCAGCUCAGAGAAGACGACGACCUUUGGCAGACAAGAAGAGCUAAUUGAAACACCAGGAGACGAUUGGAGCUCUGAAGGGUAACAGCAAAAACACCUCUGCUUUUAGAUGCUACCUUCCCCUGCCCUUCUCCUCGGUGCAUCACAGGGGAAAUACAUAAAUGUUUGUUAACUUUAGUGAAUAGAUGCAUUUCCCUGUUUAAAGCUCUA
Molecule: non-coding RNA, 387 nt
Organism: Meleagris gallopavo (turkey)
Lineage: Eukaryota; Metazoa; Chordata; Aves; Galliformes; Phasianidae
Source: RefSeq, a predicted model, not a curated record